UACGAAGGUGGCAAGCGUUGUUCGGAUUUACUGGGCGUAAAGAGUGCGUAGGCGGUUUAACAAGUCAGGAGUGAAAGCCCAAGGCUCAACCUUGGAAUUGCUUUUGAAACUGUUUUACUUGAAUCCGGUAGAGGUUGGCGGAAUUCCGAGUGUAGAGGUGAAAUUCGCAGAUAUUCGGAGGAACACCAGUGGCGUAAGCGGCCAACUGGACCGGUUUUGACGCUGAGGCACGAAAGCAUGGGUAGCAAACAGG
This 253-nucleotide ribosomal RNA is filed under the name uncultured bacterium. RNAcentral describes it as "partial 16S ribosomal RNA". It matches the Rfam family "Bacterial small subunit ribosomal RNA", at positions 524 to 776 of the family's 1533-position model. The record is from RNAcentral.